RNAcentral lists this ribosomal RNA (377 nucleotides) under uncultured bacterium. RNAcentral describes it as "bacterial SSU rRNA". It matches the Rfam family "Bacterial small subunit ribosomal RNA", at positions 523 to 898 of the family's 1533-position model. The record is from RNAcentral.
AUACGGAGGGUGCAAGCGUUGUUCGGAAUCACUGGGCGUAAAGCGCGUGUAGGCGGCCUCUUAAGUCUGGUGUGAAAGCCCGGGGCUCACCCCCGGAAGGGCACUGGAGACUGGGAGGCUAGAGUACCGGAGAGGAGGGUGGAAUUCCUGGUGUAGCGGUGAAAUGCGUAGAUAUCAGGAGGAACACCGGUGGCGAAGGCGGCCCUCUGGACGGCUACUGACGCUGAGACGCGAAAGCGUGGGGAGCAAACAGGAUUAGAUACCCUGGUAGUCCACGCCGUAAACGAUGGGCACUAGGUGUUCGGGGUAUUGACCCCCCGAGUGCCGCAGCUAACGCAUUAAGUGCCCCGCCUGGGGAGUACGGCCGCAAGGUUAAA